CUCCAGACUCCUACGGGAGGCAGCAGUGGGGAAUAUUGCACAAUGGGGGAAACCCUGAUGCAGCGACGCCGCGUGAGCGAUGAAGUAUUUCGGUAUGUAAAGCUCUAUCAGCAGGGAAGAAAAUGACGGUACCUGACUAAGAAGCCCCGGCUAACUACGUGCCAGCAGCCGCGGUAAUACGUAGGGGGCAAGCGUUAUCCGGAUUUACUGGGUGUAAAGGGAGCGUAGACGGCUGUGCAAGCCAGAUGUGAAAGCCCGGGGCUCAACCCCGGGACUGCAUUUGGAACUGUGUGGCUGGAGUGUCGGAGAGGCAGGCGGAAUUCCUAGUGUAGCGGUGAAAUGCGUAGAUAUUAGGAGGAACACCAGUGGCGAAGGCGGCCUGCUGGACGAUGACUGACGUUGAGGCUCGAAAGCGUGGGGAGCAAACAGGAUUAGAUACCCCGGUACCC
This 449-nucleotide ribosomal RNA is filed under the name uncultured bacterium. Its description in RNAcentral is "bacterial SSU rRNA". It matches the Rfam family "Bacterial small subunit ribosomal RNA", at positions 329 to 795 of the family's 1533-position model. The record is from RNAcentral.